Molecule: ribosomal RNA, 253 nt
Filed under: uncultured bacterium
Lineage: Bacteria
Description: partial 16S ribosomal RNA
Rfam family: Bacterial small subunit ribosomal RNA
Source: RNAcentral
UACGUAGGGGGCAAGCGUUGUCCGGAAUCAUUGGGCGUAAAGAGCGUGUAGGCGGCCCGAUAAGUCCGCUGUGAAAGUCCAGGGCUCAACCCUGGAAUGCCGGUGGAUACUGUCGGGCUCGAAUCCGGAAGAGGUGAGUGGAAUUCCUGGUGUAGCGGUGAAAUGCGCAGAUAUCAGGAGGAACACCAAUGGCGAAGGCAGCUCACUGGGACGGUAUUGACGCUGAGGCACGAAAGCGUGGGGAUCAAACAGG